GAGUGGGAGGUAAAACUGGGAAACCAGGUACCGAUUAAAAUGGAAACUGAUUAUUAGCUUUGAGUGUAUACCUAACUAAUUUACACUUCAUUUGGCAGAUAGUGGAGAGCCACUGGAAGUAUAAAAGCAAGGGAUUGACGUGAUCAUAUGUGUGUGUAUAAAUAUGUGUAUACAUGACGUAAAUAUUAACCUGCUAAUAUUUUGUCAGGGGGAAAGACCAAGAGAAAUACUAGUUGGAAAACAAUCUUAAUAAAUACUAUAGAGUUCAAGUCUAUUAAAAUAGAGCUGAUGAGAGAUAAAGGGGGGCUGAACUAACAUGAUGUAUUCAGACAAGAUAGACAUUCCAAACUUUAUAAGGGAAAAUGACACACUGUGGCAAC
RNAcentral lists this long non-coding RNA (380 nucleotides) under Bos taurus (domestic cattle). RNAcentral describes it as "long non-coding RNA NONBTAT025218". Lineage: Eukaryota; Metazoa; Chordata; Mammalia; Artiodactyla; Bovidae. The record is from RNAcentral.